UGGGGAAUAUUGCACAAUGGGGGAAACCCUGAUGCAGCGACGCCGCGUGAGCGAAGAAGGUUUUCGAAUCGUAAAGCUCUGUCCUAUGAGAAGAUAAUGACGGUAUCAUAGGAGGAAGCCCCGGCUAAAUACGUGCCAGCAGCCGCGGUAAUACGUAUGGGGCGAGCGUUGUCUGGAAUUAUUGGGCGUAAAGGGUACGUAGGCGGUCUAUUAAGUCAGGUGUGAAAGCGUGAGGCUUAACCUCAUUAAGCACUUGAAACUGAUAGACUUGAGUGAAGGAGAGGAAAGUGGAAUUCCUAGUGUAGCGGUGAAAUGCGUAGAUAUUAGGAGGAAUACCGGUGGCGAAGGCGACUUUCUGGACUUUUACUGACGCUCAGGUACGAAAGCGUGGGGAGCAAACAGG
This 403-nucleotide ribosomal RNA is filed under the name Verrucomicrobiota bacterium. Its description in RNAcentral is "Verrucomicrobia bacterium partial 16S ribosomal RNA". It matches the Rfam family "Bacterial small subunit ribosomal RNA", at positions 355 to 776 of the family's 1533-position model. Lineage: Bacteria; Pseudomonadati; Verrucomicrobiota. The record is from RNAcentral.